AGAAUCAUCGAAUCUUUGAACGCACAUUGCGCCCGCCAGUAUUCUGGCGGGCAUGCCUGUUCGAGCGUCA
RNAcentral lists this ribosomal RNA (70 nucleotides) under Tolypocladium ophioglossoides CBS 100239. Its description in RNAcentral is "5.8S ribosomal RNA". It matches the Rfam family "5.8S ribosomal RNA", at positions 85 to 154 of the family's 154-position model. From Rfam's summary of the family: 5.8S ribosomal RNA (5.8S rRNA) is a component of the large subunit of the eukaryotic ribosome. It is transcribed by RNA polymerase I as part of the 45S precursor that also contains 18S and 28S rRNA. The record is from Rfam by way of RNAcentral. Lineage: Eukaryota; Fungi; Ascomycota; Sordariomycetes; Hypocreales; Ophiocordycipitaceae.